Molecule: ribosomal RNA, 484 nt
Filed under: uncultured bacterium
Lineage: Bacteria
Description: partial 16S ribosomal RNA
Rfam family: Bacterial small subunit ribosomal RNA
Source: RNAcentral
AUUGAACGCUGGCGGCAGGCCUAACACAUGCAAGUCGAGCGGAUGAAGGGAGCUUGCUCCUGGAUUCAGCGGCGGACGGGUGAGUAAUGCCUAGGAGUCUGCCUGGUAGUGGGGGAUAACGUCCGGAAACGGGCGCUAAUACCGCAUACGUCCUGAGGGAGAAAGUGGGGGAUCUUCGGACCUCACGCUAUCAGAUGAGCCUAGGUCGGAUUAGCUAGUUGGUGGGGUAAAGGCCUACCAAGGCGACGAUCCGUAACUGGUCUGAGAGGAUGAUCAGUCACACUGGAACUGAGACACGGUCCAGACUCCUACGGGAGGCAGCAGUGGGGAAUAUUGGACAGUGGGCGAAAGCCUGAUCCAGCCAUGCCGCGUGUGUGAAGAAGGUCUUCGGAUUGUAAAGCACUUUAAGUUGGGAGGAAGGGCAGUAAGUUAAUACCUUGCUGUUUUGACGUUACCAACAGAAUAAGCACCGGCUAACUUCGUG